AAGUGACGCGGUAGAGGAGCGUUCUGUAAGCCUGUGAAGGUGAGUUGAGAAGCUUGCUGGAGGUAUCAGAAGUGCGAAUGCUGACAUGAGUAACGACAAUGGGUGUGAAAAACACCCACGCCGAAAGACCAAGGGUUCCUGCGCAACGUUAAUCGACGCAGGGUUAGUCGGUUCCUAAGGCGAGGCUGAAAAGCGUAGUCGAUGGGAAACAGGUUAAUAUUCCUGUACUUCUGGUUACUGCGAUGGAGGGACGGAGAAGGCUAGGCCAGCUUGGCGUUGGUUGUCCAAGUUUAAGGUGGUAGGCUGAAAUCUUAGGUAAAUCCGGGGUUUCAAGGCCGAGAGCUGAUGACGAGUCGUCUUUUAGAUGACGAAGUGGUUGAUGCCAUGCUUCCAAGAAAAGCUUCUAAGCUUCAGGUAACCAGGAACCGUACCCCAAACCGACACAGGUGGUCGGGUAGAGAAUACCAAGGCGCUUGAGAGAACUCGGGUGAAGGAACUAGGCAAAAUGGCACCGUAACUUCGGGAGAAGGUGCGCCGGCUAGGGUGAAGGAUUUACUCCGUAAGCCCUGGCUGGUCGAAGAUACCAGGCCGCUGCGACUGUUUAUUAAAAACACAGCACUCUGCAAACACGAAAGUGGACGUAUAGGGUGUGACGCCUGCCCGGUGCCGGAAGGUUAAUUGAUGGGGUUAGCGCAAGCGAAGCUCUUGAUCGAAGCCCCGGUAAACGGCGGCCGUAACUAUAACGGUCCUAAGGUAGCGAAAUUCCUUGUCGGGUAAGUUCCGACCUGCACGAAUGGCGUAACGAUGGCGGCGCUGUCUCCACCCGAGACUCAGUGAAAUUGAAAUCGCUGUGAAGAUGCAGUGUAUCCGCGGCUAGACGGAGAGACCCCGUGAACCUUUACUGUAGCUUUGCACUGGACUUUGAGCCUGCUUGUGUAGGAUAGGUGGGAGGCUUUGAAGCGUGGACGCCAGUUCGCGUGGAGCCAUCCUUGAAAUACCACCCUGGCAUGCUUGAGGUUCUAACUCUGGUCCGUGAUCCGGAUCGAGGACAGUGUAUGGUGGGCAGUUUGACUGGGGCGGUCUCCUCCUAAAGAGUAACGGAGGAGUACGAAGGUGCGCUCAGACCGGUCGGAAAUCGGUCGUAGAGUAUAAAGGCAAAAGCGCGCUUGACUGCGAGACAGACACGUCGAGCAGGUACGAAAGUAGGUCUUAGUGAUCCGGUGGUUCUGUAUGGAAGGGCCAUCGCUCAACGGAUAAAAGGUACUCCGGGGAUAACAGGCUGAUACCGCCCAAGAGUUCAUAUCGACGGCGGUGUUUGGCACCUCGAUGUCGGCUCAUCACAUCCUGGGGCUGAAGCCGGUCCCAAGGGUAUGGCUGUUCGCCAUUUAAAGUGGUACGCGAGCUGGGUUUAGAACGUCGUGAGACAGUUCGGUCCCUAUCUGCCGUGGACGUUUGAGAUUUGAGAGGGGCUGCUCCUAGUACGAGAGGACCGGAGUGGACGAACCUCUGGUGUUCCGGUUGUCACGCCAGUGGCAUUGCCGGGUAGCUAUGUUCGGAAAAGAUAACCGCUGAAAGCAUCUAAGCGGGAAACUUGCCUCAAGAUGAGAUCUCACUGGGAACUUGAUUCCCCUGAAGGGCCGUCGAAGACUACGACGUUGAUAGGCUGGGUGUGUAAGCGUUGU
Molecule: ribosomal RNA, 1682 nt
Filed under: Pseudomonas aeruginosa
Lineage: Bacteria; Pseudomonadati; Pseudomonadota; Gammaproteobacteria; Pseudomonadales; Pseudomonadaceae
Description: bacterial LSU rRNA
Rfam family: Bacterial large subunit ribosomal RNA
Source: RNAcentral